This is a non-coding RNA of Hemibagrus wyckioides, 612 nucleotides long. Lineage: Eukaryota; Metazoa; Chordata; Actinopteri; Siluriformes; Bagridae. The record is from the annotation of a RefSeq genome assembly.
ACUCAGAGAAGGAUGAUUUUAGGACAGUGUAUUUUAUUGGUACUGAUUUCAUAUUCUUAUGGACAGUCCCUGACCUCCUCUGCUUCUGUAGUAAAGAGACCUGGAGAGUCGGUCACUCUGUCCUGUACUGUCUCUGGAUUCUCAAUGAGCAGCUACACCAUGCACUGGAUCCGUCUGAAACCAGGACAAGGACUGGAGUGGAUCGGAUACAUUGACAGUGGCACUAGCACUGCAUUCGCUCAGUCACUGCAGGGCCAGUUCUCCAUCACUAAAUACACCAGUAAAAACAUGCUGAACCUAGAAGUGAAGAGUCUGAAAGCUGAAGACACGGCAGUUUAUUACUGUGCACGAGUAGAUGGACAGGCCGGGCCUGGCCUGCGCCGCCGGGAUGCUCGCGCCACCUCCGCGGGAUACUGCGCGUAUCGCUGGCUGAAGAGGAGCAGCGAUCUUCAAGCUGCUGAACUUCAAGCUGCUCACGGAUCUGUUGUUGAUGAUGUGGAGGAAGCCGAGACCACCGAGGUCACUGAUCCAAGCGCCCAGCUCCUUUGCUCUGAACACGACCCUCAGAUGUCAGCUGAUGCCCUGCAUUCAGACUCUCUAAAGACCAAGUGA